CGGCCACAUUGGGACUGAGACACGGCCCAAACUCCUACGGGAGGCAGCAGUAGGGAAUAUUGCACAAUGGGGGAAACCCUGAUGCAGCGACGCCGCGUGAAGGAAGAAGUAUUUCGGUAUGUAAACUUCUAUCAGCAAGGAAGAAAAUGACGGUACUUGACUAAGAAGCCCCGGCUAAAUACGUGCCAGCAGCCGCGGUAAUACGUAUGGGGCAAGCGUUAUCCGGAUUUACUGAGUGUAAAGGGAGCGUAGGCGGCAUGGCAAGUCAGAAGUGAAAGCCUGGGGCUCAACCCCGGAAUUGCUUUUGAAACUGUCAGGCUAGAGUGUCGGAGGGGUAAGCGGAAUUCCUAGUGUAGCGGUGAAAUGCGUAGAUAUUAGGAGGAACACCGGUGGCGAAGGCGGCUUACUGGACGAUUACUGACGCUGAGGCUCGAAAGCGUGGGG
Molecule: ribosomal RNA, 444 nt
Filed under: uncultured bacterium
Lineage: Bacteria
Description: bacterial SSU rRNA
Rfam family: Bacterial small subunit ribosomal RNA
Source: RNAcentral